AUGGCUCAGGACGAACGCUGGCGGCGUGCUUAACACAUGCAAGCCGAACGGGAGUAUUGAAGAAGCUUGCUUAGAGAUACUUAGUGGCGGACGGGUGAGUAACGCGUGAGGAGCUGUCCUAUGCAGGGGGACAACAGCUGGAAACGGCGUGCUAAUACCCCAUAAGCCGAGAGGUAGAAGGAUCAAUCCGGCAGAGGAGGUACUCGCGUCCUAUCAGCUAGUAGGUGAGGUAACGGCUCACCUAGGCGAAGACGGGUAGCCGGCCUGAGAGGGCGAACGGCCACACUGGAACUGAGAUACGGUCCAGACUCCUACGGGAGGCAGCAGUGGGGAAUAUUGGGCAAUGGGGGAAACCCUGACCCAGCGACGCCGCGUGGGUGAAGAAAUCCUUCGGGAUGUAAAGCCCUGUUGUAUGGGAAGAGCGGAAGACGGUACCAUACGAGGAAGCCCCGGCAAACUACGUGCCAGCCGCUGC
RNAcentral lists this ribosomal RNA (475 nucleotides) under uncultured bacterium. RNAcentral describes it as "bacterial SSU rRNA". It matches the Rfam family "Bacterial small subunit ribosomal RNA", at positions 19 to 518 of the family's 1533-position model. The record is from RNAcentral.